This is an RNA transcript of Daphnia carinata, 2451 nucleotides long. RefSeq lists it as uncharacterized. The record is from RefSeq and is a predicted model, not a curated record. The transcript has 7 exons. NCBI's taxonomy places the organism in Eukaryota, Metazoa, Arthropoda, Branchiopoda, Diplostraca, Daphniidae.
AGGCAUUUCAAAUUCAGAUGGUGCAAUCAUUUUCUCGUCUUCUAUCCUCCAUUCCAAAACACUCGAAAUGACUUUGAGAGAUAACGUCUAACGUUAUCCGUCAACGAAAUCCCUACGCAGGCAGCUUUAUCAGAAAGAAGGGGAGCGAUGAGCAAGGCACUUGUGAACGGGAACAGGUUACUAGGCAAACUAACUGAGCAAUCACAGGACGGUGGUCUGAUAUUUUGUUAAAAAUACGUAGACACGUCCAGACACGUUGAGGUUCUCUCCUUUGAGGAUGUAGACUCUUCCUCUCGGUUGCCGCUCCCUGUUUUUGAUUAUGCCCCGCCCUUUUCUACCAGUCGGACCAUAUGCAUAUAGAAGGAGGUCGCCGUCUUUACUUUUCUUUUCGGACUUGACCUGCAGUGUUGUGCAAUGGAAAAACAAGACCAACCCUCUGCGGAUGCACGUGGUUUUGUAGGGAUAUCCUACUGUCAUCUCUGCAUAGGAAACCGCCUGAAGGAAUGGACGGCCUCCCUAUAGAAAGUUCAAUUGGAGAUCACAUAUACAGUCUUAUCAGUCCCUUUUGGAAAUGGUGAAAAAAACGGAAAUGGUGGGGCACAUUCUUUUUUAAACGUUAAUCGCAACAAGCGUCGAAUCUGCUCGACGCAAUUUAAUUGGCAGGCUCGAAAAGUCUUCCUCGUCUGACUGCCCAGUUAUUUUUUGGGGCUUAUACUACAUUGGAAAAAAUGAAGAUCAAUCACGAGUUUUUAAUCGUUUUGUUAUGGUCCUUGGCAACAGACCGUUCGGACGCUUUCCGUCAGUGCGACAGUUAUGGCGAUUGCGGAGCCAUUCACUAUUGCCUACAUUCGUACUGCGAACCAUGUAUUCCAUGCAAAGAUAUGUUCAAUCGUCAGCCAGCGCAAUCAAUAACUGGUAAGACUAUUUGUGCUAAGCAUGAAGAUGAUUGCGGACCUUGCCUACCGGGCUAUCAAGCUGAAGAUUUAGCUCAACAACGGCGAACGAUGCGUUGCUUUCGUUUGCCCGAAACAGGCGAUCCACUGCCGGGUUUAGUCCCAUGUUUAGCUGUUAUAAUGACUAUCCUGUUAGCAACGGUGAUACUACGCUUCUGCGGCGCAUUUGCUUGUAGAUAUCAAAAGGAAAUUUGCUGGUCGAAAGAAGAUACCAUCGGACGUCCACGAUUCACUUCCAGCCACUGGAGCCGACGCGGAAGCAUUGAUUACAGAUGGCCUACCUACGUACGAGGAAGCGGUUAACAAUCUUCCGCAAGAUUCGAAUACUAAUGUAAAUAAAGAUGUUUCCGUUACGGAUGGCCAAGAUAGGGAUUGUGAGUUGAAUGCCGAAUCGGAUUCAACAAUAACAAAUUCGUCUGUGGUAGAACCAGACAUAUCAACGCCUGUCAUGUCCACCGAUUCUGUUUCGAAUCAACUGAUGGGAAUGGUUUUUCCGACUAUUCGAAUCUGCGACGAACACCCUCCCGUUGAAAGUGCAGCUUCGUCUAAUGAAGCCCAAGUGAAGGACGCCGAAGUUUUACAACCGCGUCGUUCAUCUUGUAACACUAUUACCCAUAAAGUGAUUGUUAAUCAUCAAAUACCUUCGUUGUCAGAGUCUGAGCUCAGUGUAGGAAACCAAGCGACCUGUGUUACGCCUCAGUCGUCAUUUACAAGUUCACUGGGACCUGGGAGGAUCGGAAAUAAGAUAGAAAUAGCACCGCCAGCAACAAGUUUGACAUUGGAAAGUUAUCAACAUCGCCAUGGAUCUACUGAAGAUAUCGAAGAGAAGACUCGACUGACGAGAGCAAAAAAGUAUGUUUUACGUGCGAUUAGCAAAUUUAAACGGACGCAUGUCAAAUGGUUAGUAAUCCGGUUUGCUGCGUGGAAAUCCUACAUCAACUAAAAACGAAGUGGGUAGUAGUUUGCCACAGUUAUCCAGAUAAAUCUAGUUGAAUUAUAAUAGCUGCCAAUUUCAAAUAGUUGAGAUAAUUAGCAAAUUACGUUAUCUAAUAUUCGCACGAUGGAUAGCAAUGUGGCGUAGUAUUCAAAUGGAAAUUAUGACAAACAAGUUUAGAUUUUUUAAAAAUAUCGCAUUUUUUAUAAAUGGAAGUAUGCUUUUUAGCUUGCCAUUACAGUAAAUACGAUAAUUUUUCUCCUUCCAUAUCUUCCUCACAGUUGGCUGUGUUCUCUUUCUACCAUCAUGUUGUACAGCAAAAGGCAACACCUCUUUACUCAUGCAAUUAACUCACGAUGUAGCUUAAUUCGAAACCCAUCCCUUGAAGCUGCUGAUGAUUUGUUGUCCCUACAGUCUAUGUACCAUGCAAGUAAAAACACCUGGAGGCUGUAUCCCUUUCCGAUAUUUGAAGUCACCUUUACAGGUAUACUUACACUAUAUGCAUUGGUCUGAUUGCUGUAAGCAAUGAGUCACGUGAAAAUAUAUCCAAUAGGGAAACAGUGA